RNAcentral lists this ribosomal RNA (250 nucleotides) under uncultured prokaryote. RNAcentral describes it as "partial 16S ribosomal RNA". It matches the Rfam family "Bacterial small subunit ribosomal RNA", at positions 525 to 775 of the family's 1533-position model. The record is from RNAcentral.
ACGUAGGACGCAAGCGUUAUCCGGAAUUACUGGGCGUAAAGGGCGUGUAGGCGGCACGGUAAGUCAACCGUGAAAGCUCCCGGCUAAACUGGGAGAGGUCGGAUGAGACUGCCGAGCUAGAGGGUCGUAGAGGGGUGUGGAAUUCCGGGUGUAGUGGUGAAAUGCGUAGAGAUCCGGAGGAACACCAGAGGCGAAGGCGGCACCCUGGACGACACUGACGCUCAUGCACGAAAGCGUGGGGAGCAAACAG